UAAGACAGAAAGUUCUCCCCAGCGU
This 25-nucleotide non-coding RNA is filed under the name Cricetulus griseus (Chinese hamster). Lineage: Eukaryota; Metazoa; Chordata; Mammalia; Rodentia; Cricetidae. The record is from RNAcentral.